RNAcentral lists this transfer RNA (69 nucleotides) under Ictidomys tridecemlineatus (thirteen-lined ground squirrel). RNAcentral describes it as "Spermophilus tridecemlineatus (thirteen-lined ground squirrel) tRNA". It matches the Rfam family "tRNA". Rfam says of the family: Transfer RNA (tRNA) molecules are approximately 80 nucleotides in length. Their secondary structure includes four short double-helical elements and three loops (D, anti-codon, and T loops). Lineage: Eukaryota; Metazoa; Chordata; Mammalia; Rodentia; Sciuridae. The record is from Rfam by way of RNAcentral.
GGGGCUGUAGCUCAGUGGUAGAGCACCCGCCUCCCAUGUGUGAGGCACUGGGUUGGAUCCUCAGCACCA